RNAcentral lists this transfer RNA (72 nucleotides) under Marmota marmota marmota (Alpine marmot). It matches the Rfam family "tRNA". From Rfam's summary of the family: Transfer RNA (tRNA) molecules are approximately 80 nucleotides in length. Their secondary structure includes four short double-helical elements and three loops (D, anti-codon, and T loops). Further hydrogen bonds mediate the characteristic L-shaped molecular structure. tRNAs have two regions of fundamental functional importance: the anti-codon, which is responsible for specific mRNA codon recognition, and the 3' end, to which the tRNAs corresponding amino acid is attached (by aminoacyl-tRNA synthetases). tRNAs cope with the degeneracy of the genetic code in two manners: having more than one tRNA (with a specific anti-codon) for a particular amino acid; and 'wobble' base-pairing, i.e. permitting non-standard base-pairing at the 3rd anti-codon position. Lineage: Eukaryota; Metazoa; Chordata; Mammalia; Rodentia; Sciuridae. RNAcentral also lists the same sequence under 1 other name. The record is from Rfam by way of RNAcentral.
GGAGAUAUAGUUCAGUGGUAGAGUGCUUGCCUAGCAUGCAUGAGACCUUGGGUUCAAUUCCCAGUACCACCA